Molecule: ribosomal RNA, 663 nt
Filed under: uncultured bacterium
Lineage: Bacteria
Description: bacterial SSU rRNA
Rfam family: Bacterial small subunit ribosomal RNA
Source: RNAcentral
GAUGCUAAUACCGGAUAACAACACUAGACGCAUGUCUAGAGUUUGAAAGAUGGUUCUGCUAUCACUCUUGGAUGGACCUGCGGUGCAUUAGCUAGUUGGUAAGGUAACGGCUUACCAAGGCAAUGAUGCAUAGCCGAGUUGAGAGACUGAUCGGCCACAUUGGGACUGAGACACGGCCCAAACUCCUACGGGAGGCAGCAGUAGGGAAUCUUCCACAAUGGACGAAAGUCUGAUGGAGCAACGCCGCGUGAGUGAAGAAGGGUUUCGGCUCGUAAAGCUCUGUUGGUAGUGAAGAAAGAUAGAGGUAGUAACUGGCCUUUAUUUGACGGUAAUUACUUAGAAAGUCACGGCUAACUACGUGCCAGCAGCCGCGGUAAUACGUAGGUGGCAAGCGCUGUCCGGAUUUAUUGGGCGUAAAGCGAGUGCAGGCGGUUCAAUAAGUCUGAUGUGAAAGCCUUCGGCUCAACCGGAGAAUUGCAUCAGAAACUGUUGAACUUGAGUGCAGAAGAGGAGAGUGGAACUCCAUGUGUAGCGGUGGAAUGCGUAGAUAUAUGGAAGAACACCAGUGGCGAAGGCGGCUCUCUGGUCUGCAACUGACGCUGAGGCUCGAAAGCAUGGGUAGCGAACAGGAUUAGAUACCCUGGUGGUCCAUGCCGUAAACGA